Acanthosepion pharaonis is the source of this 102-nucleotide non-coding RNA. The record is from the annotation of a GenBank genome assembly. Lineage: Eukaryota; Metazoa; Mollusca; Cephalopoda; Sepiida; Sepiidae.
CACGUUGAAACACUGGUUCCCGUACAAUCACCGAAUUUAAGCAACAUCGAGCCUUAUCAGUACCUGGAUAGGUGACCGUUUGAAAAUACCAGGUGCUGUAAG